This 2345-nucleotide long non-coding RNA is filed under the name Homo sapiens (human). RNAcentral describes it as "HSALNT0364807". The record is from RNAcentral. Lineage: Eukaryota; Metazoa; Chordata; Mammalia; Primates; Hominidae.
CAAGGAUGCCUGAGGGGAUUUGAGUCCUACAGGCUCAGCACUUAUGAAAAAGGAUAAAGUCCUUCCCAGCCUGGCAGGAGAAGGAAAAGCCUGUGGUGGGGGAAGGGAGUGAAGGCGUGUGCCUCCUCAUGGAACACAGGGUCGGAGUCGGCUAGGAGGGAUAAGAGUACAAUAGAGGGUUGUGUGACACAGACAGGCUGCCAGCCCUCAGCAUGGACCCGGCACAUGGAAUCUGUGAUCUUAAAAGAGUCAAGUGACUACCUUUGGCAACCAAAAGAGACACUGCCUUUUAGAAGGCAUAUCAUCUGAAACUGGCUGAAAGAGCUGUCUUACUUAGGAAGAAAAAUCUCUCCUUUGGAAAGAGCUGGAACUUUUAGUAAAACUGAACAGUGAGGUGGCGGAAGUAGAGAUGAUGUCUUGCCACAUUGCCCAGGCUGGUCUCAAACUCCAGGCCUAAAGGGAUCUUCUGACUUUGGCCUCCCAAAGUGCUGAGAUUAUAGGAUCGAGGCUAUCAAGCUACAGAUGAUCUUACAAAUGGAACCCCAAAUGAGCUCAACUAACAACUACCAAGGACCCCUGGACCAACCCGCUGGCCCUUUCAAUGGCCUAAAGAGUUCCCCUCUGGAGGACACUACAACUGCAGGGUCCUUUCUUUGCCCCUAUCCAGCAGGAAGUAGCUAGAGUGGUCAUCACCCAAUUCCCAACAGCAGUUGGGGUGUCUUGUUAAGUGGGGAGAUUGAGAGGUGAAGCCAGCUGGGCUUCUGGGUUGGGUGGGGACUUGGAGAACUUUUCUGUCUAGCUAGAGGAUUGUAAACACACCAAUCAGUGCUAUGUGUCUAGCUAGAGGUUUGUAAAUGCACCAAUCAGCACUCUGUAAAAACGGACCAAUCAGCACUCUGUAAAAUGGACCAAUCAGUAGGAUGCGGGCAGGGCCAAAUAAGGGAAUAAAAGCUGGCCACCUGAGUCAGCAGUGGCAACCCACUCGGGUCCCCUUCCAUGCUGUGGAAGCUUUGUUCUUUCACUCUUCACAAUAAAUCUUGCUGCUGCUCACUCUUUGGGUCCACACCACCUUUAUGAGCUGCAACACUCACUGCGAAGGUCUUCAGCUUCACUCCUGAAGUCAGCGAGACCACGAACCCAUGGGGAGGAACAAUCGACUUCAGACAUGCCACCUUUAAGAGCUGUAACACUCACUGCGAAGGUCUGUGGCUUCACUCCUGAAGUCAGCAAGACCACGAACCCACUGGAAGGAAGAAAUUUCGGACACAUCUGAACAUCUGAAUGAACAAACUCUGGACACGCCAUCUUUAAGAACUGUAACACUCACUGUGAGGGUUCAUGGGUUCAUUCUUGAAGUCAGCAAGACCAAGAACCCACCAGAAGGAACCAAUUCCGGACACAGACUCACUGCAACCUCCACCUCCUGGAUUCAAGUGAUUCUCCUGCCUCAGCCUCCGGAGUAGCUGUGCCUACAGGCACAAGCCACCACACACGGCUAAUUUUUUGUAUUUUUAGUAGAGAUGGGGUUUCACCAUGUUGCUCAGGCUGGUCUCCAACUCCUGAGCUCAAGUGAUCCACCUGUCUCGGCCUCCCAAAGUGUUGGGAUACAUGUGUGAGCCACUGUGCCCGGCCUCCUCUGGAUUAGUUCUUACAGGAAUAGAUUAGUUCUUGCUCGAGCAAGUUGUUAUAAAAGUGAGGUUGCCUCUAGUGUUUUGCAUCCUCACAUAUGUCUGCUUACCUCUUGACCUCUCUCUGUGUUAUGACCCAGCACAAAAGCCCUUACCAGAAGCCAAGCAGAUGCUGAUGCCACACCCCUUGGACUUCUCAGUCUACAGAGCCAUGAAACGAAUAAACCUCUCUUUAUAAAUUAUCCAGCUUCAGGUAUUCUGUUAUAGCAACACAAAAUGGACGAAGACAACUACCUUAUCAUAAUAAUACUAUGAUAGUCAAAAUAGAUAAUGUCUGUUAAAAUGCUUAAACAGUUUACACACGUUAUUUUUACCUCAUUAGAGUGAUUUAUUAUUCAUUAAUAUGUAGAGCAGCAUUAAGGUAUAACAACAUAAACAUUGAGAUCAUUAAUCAAGGGUCCUGAGAUUCUACUCUUGUUCUCCAUAAAUUAGCUGAGUAAAUAUGGUAAGUCAUUUAACAUUUGGGCUUCAGGUUUCUUAAUCUAUAAAAAUGACAAAGUAUCAUUUAGAACCUUCUAGCUAGGAAAUAUAUCAUUUUGUGAUCUCCUAAAUCUAGUUUUUUUCUCACAUACUGGCUCUAAUUUUUUGAGAUAGGAUCUUGCUCUGUUGCCCAGACUGGAGUGCAGUGGCAUGAACAUGGCUCACUGCAGCCUUAAC